CCUCAUUUGAGAAAAUUGAGCCUGUACAGAAAAAAGAAAACCCAUAACAAACAUAACUGUUAGAGGAAAUAAAAAUUAAAGGAAAGGAUAUAAACAUAAACAUUUGAAAUGGACCAAUAUGAGGAAAAGAUAAAUAUAUCACUGCCACAGUGAUUUAGACAACAAGAAAAAGACAGUAUUCAUGUAUUUCAUCUAAGCCACGCAAGGCAACAUCUCACUAAGAAGGUAAAGAGGAGGCAUCAAUGCAUUCAAGCAUGUGUAUUUGUGUGCAAUAAUUAAGGAGGUAUAUAUCAACAAAACCUAUCUCUACCAACUACUAACAGGAG
RNAcentral lists this unclassified non-coding RNA (326 nucleotides) under Hevea brasiliensis (rubber tree). The record is from RNAcentral. Lineage: Eukaryota; Viridiplantae; Streptophyta; Magnoliopsida; Malpighiales; Euphorbiaceae.